Molecule: ribosomal RNA, 252 nt
Filed under: uncultured Bacteroidales bacterium
Lineage: Bacteria; Pseudomonadati; Bacteroidota; Bacteroidia; Bacteroidales
Description: partial 16S ribosomal RNA
Rfam family: Bacterial small subunit ribosomal RNA
Source: RNAcentral
UACGGAGGAUGCGAGCGUUAUCCGGAUUUAUUGGGUUUAAAGGGUGCGUAGGCGGGUUAUCAAGUCAGCGGUAAAAUCGUGGAGCUCAACGCCGUAGAGCCGUUGAAACUGGGGUUCUUGAGUGAGCGAGAAGUAUGCGGAAUGCGUGGUGUAGCGGUGAAAUGCAUAGAUAUCACGCAGAACCCCGAUUGCGAAGGCAGCAUACCGGCGCUCAACUGACGCUGAGGCACGAAAGUGCGGGUAUCGAACAGG